UAUUAUGUGAUUGUAUAGAUAAUUCAGAUAGCUUUAAUGAAAAACCAAGGAAGGAAUUUUCAAAAUUGGAUCAUAUUUUUUUUAUUAUUUGCUUUACUUGAAUGGAAUGUCAACGGGCGAAAACAUAAAAACUUUUCCAUGUAUUUGUCGACUGGUGUCAAAUUAGUUUUUAAAUCUGAUUCAUGGAAACGGAUACUUUGCAACGUGAAUCGUACUUUAUACGAAAAUCUUUUAGAAUAUCGAAAUGAUCUUUUAAGAGUGAUUGUUAUGCCAAGAACACGGAGAAAUGUUCCCUCGAAAUCAAGAUUAACCUUGCAUAUAUUUUGGUGAUGUUCUUUGAAAGAUGUAGAUCAUGCUGCAUUUGCAUUGAAGAACACAUACUUCAAUAUACAACAAAGAAAGAAUCAAUCAAAUACUGUCAUAACUGAUCAGUACUUGUCCUAAAAUAUUUAAAAUACAUAAACAAUAC
Molecule: long non-coding RNA, 469 nt
Filed under: Mytilus galloprovincialis (Mediterranean mussel)
Lineage: Eukaryota; Metazoa; Mollusca; Bivalvia; Mytilida; Mytilidae
Source: RNAcentral